CGCUGGCGGCAGGCUAACACAUGCAGUCGAGCGGAUGAAGGGAGCUUGCUCCUGGAUUCAGCGGCGGACGGGUGAGUAAUGCCUAGGAAUCUGCCUGGUAGUGGGGGAUAACGUCCGGAAACGGGCGCUAAUACCGCAUACGUCCUGAGGGAGAAAGUGGGGGAUCUUCGGACCUCACGCUAUCAGAUGAGCCUAGGUCGGAUUAGCUAGUUGGUGGGGUAAAGGCCUACCAAGGCGACGAUCCGUAACUGGUCUGAGAGGAUGAUCAGUCACACUGGAACUGAGACACGGUCCAGACUCCUACGGGAGGCAGCAGUGGGGAAUAUUGGACAAUGGGCGAAAGCCUGAUCCAGCCAUGCCGCGUGUGUGAAGAAGGUCUUCGGAUUGUAAAGCACUUUAAGUUGGGAGGAAGGGCAGUAAGUUAAUACCUUGCUGUUUUGACGUUACCAACAGAAUAAGCACCGGCUAACUUCGUGCCAGCAGCCGCGGUAAUACGAAGGGUGCAAGCGUUAAUCGGAAUUACUGGGCGUAAAGCGCGCGUAGGUGGUUCAGCAAGUUGGAUGUGAAAUCCCCGGGCUCAACCUGGGAACUGCAUCCC
RNAcentral lists this ribosomal RNA (598 nucleotides) under Pseudomonas sp. TILAE3C. Its description in RNAcentral is "bacterial SSU rRNA". It matches the Rfam family "Bacterial small subunit ribosomal RNA", at positions 34 to 629 of the family's 1533-position model. Lineage: Bacteria; Pseudomonadati; Pseudomonadota; Gammaproteobacteria; Pseudomonadales; Pseudomonadaceae. The record is from RNAcentral.